GUGGGGAAUUUUGGACAAUGGGCGCAAGCCUGAUCCAGCAAUGCCGCGUGCAGGAAGAAGGCCUUCGGGUUGUAAACUGCUUUUGUACGGAACGAAACGGCUCUGGUUAAUACCCGGGGCUAAUGACGGUACCGUAAGAAUAAGCACCGGCUAACUACGUGCCAGCAGCCGCGGUAAUACGUAGGGUGCAAGCGUUAAUCGGAAUUACUGGGCGUAAAGCGUGCGCAGGCGGUUUUGUAAGACAGGCGUGAAAUCCCCGGGCUCAACCUGGGAAUUGCGCUUGUGACUGCAAGGCUGGAGUGCGGCAGAGGGGGAUGGAAUUCCGCGUGUAGCAGUGAAAUGCGUAGAUAUGCGGAGGAACACCGAUGGCGAAGGCAAUCCCCUGGGCCUGCACUGACGCUCAUGCACGAAAGCGUGGGGAGCAAACAGGAUUAGAUACCCGGGUAGUCC
This 450-nucleotide ribosomal RNA is filed under the name uncultured bacterium. RNAcentral describes it as "partial 16S ribosomal RNA". It matches the Rfam family "Bacterial small subunit ribosomal RNA", at positions 354 to 796 of the family's 1533-position model. The record is from RNAcentral.